This 253-nucleotide unclassified non-coding RNA is filed under the name Myxococcales bacterium. RNAcentral's name for it is "partial 16S ribosomal RNA". It matches the Rfam family "Bacterial small subunit ribosomal RNA", at positions 524 to 776 of the family's 1533-position model. Lineage: Bacteria; Pseudomonadati; Myxococcota; Myxococcia; Myxococcales. The record is from RNAcentral. RNAcentral also lists the same sequence under 1 other name.
GACAGAGGGUGCGAACGUUGCUCGGAAUCACUGGGCGUAAAGCGCGUGUAGGCGGACUCGCAAGUCGGUUGUGAAAUCCCUGGGCUCAACCCAGGAACUGCAUCCGAAACUGCGUGUCUAGAGUGCUGGAGAGGGAAGCGGAAUUCCCGGUGUAGAGGUGAAAUUCGUAGAUAUCGGGAGGAACAUCAGUGGCGAAGGCGGCUUCCUGGACAGUUACUGACGCUGAGACGCGAAAGCGUGGGGAGCAAACAGG